This 429-nucleotide ribosomal RNA is filed under the name Bacteroidota bacterium. Its description in RNAcentral is "Bacteroidetes bacterium partial 16S ribosomal RNA". It matches the Rfam family "Bacterial small subunit ribosomal RNA", at positions 355 to 776 of the family's 1533-position model. Lineage: Bacteria; Pseudomonadati; Bacteroidota. The record is from RNAcentral.
UAGGGAAUCUUCCGCAAUGGACGCAAGUCUGACGGAGCAACGCCGCGUGAGUGAAGAAGGAUUUCGGUUCGUAAAACUCUGUUGUUAGAGAAGAACAGCGCAUAGAGUAACUGUUAUGCGUGUGACGGUAUCUAACCAGAAAGCCACGGCUAACUACGUGCCAGCAGCCGCGGUACUACGUAGGUGGCAAGCGUUGUCCGGAUUUAUUGGGCGUAAAGCGAGCGCAGGCGGUCAAUUAAGUCUGAUGUGAAAGCCCCCGGCUCAACCGGGGAGGGGCAUUGGAAACUGGUUGACUUGAGUGCAGAAGAGGAGAGUGGAAUUCCAUGUGUAGCGGUGAAAUGCGUAGAUAGAUGGAGGAACACCAGUGGCGAAGGCGACUGUCUGGUCUGUAACUGACGCUGAUGUGCGAAAGCGUGGGGAUCAAACAGG